GCACAAAUUUGCUUGCUGGCAACCAUGUGAGAUGGGACUUUCUCCUCCUUGACUUUCGCCAUGAUUGUGAGGCCUUCCCAGCCAUGUGGAACUCUUCUUUCGUGGCAAUUUUCCCCCAGGAGGGAUUUCCCUGCAGUGGACCUCCUCCCCAGUGGUACCUUCAGCCAUCAGAACACCUCGCUUUAGAUCUGUGGGUCCCAAAUUUCAUCAAAUCCAAUGACCAUUUCUAUGAUCACUCAUUCUGGGGGCAGCCCUCUGGCAUGUAAUGAGCAGUCCUAUGGAGAGGCCCAUGUGACAGUAGCCAUGCGAGUGACACUGGAAGUGAAACCUGCAGCUCCAGUCAAGCCUUUAGAAGACUGCAGCCCUGGCUGACAGCUUGACAGCAAACUCAUGAGAGACUCUCAGCUUGAACAACUCA
This 418-nucleotide long non-coding RNA is filed under the name Homo sapiens (human). Its description in RNAcentral is "non-protein coding LINC01033:12". The record is from RNAcentral. Lineage: Eukaryota; Metazoa; Chordata; Mammalia; Primates; Hominidae.